GUGGGGAAUAUUGGACAAUGGGCGAAAGCCUGAUCCAGCAAUGCCGCGUGCAGGAUGAAGGCCUUCGGGUUGUAAACUGCUUUUGUACGGAACGAAAAGCUUCGGGUUAAUACCCUGGAGUCAUGACGGUACCGUAAGAAUAAGCACCGGCUAACUACGUGCCAGCAGCCGCGGUAAUACGUAGGGUGCAAGCGUUAAUCGGAAUUACUGGGCGUAAAGCGUGCGCAGGCGGUCUUGUAAGACAGAGGUGAAAUCCCCGGGCUCAACCUGGGAACUGCCUUUGUGACUGCAAGGCUGGAGUGUGGCAGAGGGGGAUGGAAUUCCACGUGUAGCAGUGAAAUGCGUAGAGAUGUGGAGGAACACCGAUGGCGAAGGCAGCCCCCUGGGCCAAUACUGACGCUCAUGCACGAAAGCGUGGGGAGCAAACAGGAUUAGAAACCCGAGUAGUCC
This 450-nucleotide ribosomal RNA is filed under the name uncultured bacterium. RNAcentral describes it as "partial 16S ribosomal RNA". It matches the Rfam family "Bacterial small subunit ribosomal RNA", at positions 354 to 796 of the family's 1533-position model. The record is from RNAcentral.